This 253-nucleotide ribosomal RNA is filed under the name uncultured bacterium. RNAcentral's name for it is "partial 16S ribosomal RNA". It matches the Rfam family "Bacterial small subunit ribosomal RNA", at positions 524 to 776 of the family's 1533-position model. RNAcentral also lists the same sequence under 1 other name. The record is from RNAcentral.
UACGUAGGGUGCAAGCGUUAAUCGGAAUUACUGGGCGUAAAGCGUGCGCAGGCGGUUUUGUAAGACAGGCGUGAAAUCCCCGGGCUUAACCUGGGAACUGCGUUUGUGACUGCAAGGCUAGAGUACGGCAGAGGGGGGUGGAAUUCCACGUGUAGCAGUGAAAUGCGUAGAGAUGUGGAGGAACACCAAUGGCGAAGGCAGCCCCCUGGGUCGAUACUGACGCUCAUGCACGAAAGCGUGGGUAGCAAACAGG